Molecule: ribosomal RNA, 254 nt
Filed under: uncultured bacterium
Lineage: Bacteria
Description: partial 16S ribosomal RNA
Rfam family: Bacterial small subunit ribosomal RNA
Source: RNAcentral
UACGUAGGCAGCGAGCGUUGUUCGGAAUUACUGGGCGUAAAGAGUGUGUAGGUGGUGCUCUAAGUUUGGUGUGAAAUCUCCCGGCUCAACCGGGAGGGUGCAUCGAAAACUGGAGUGCUAGAGGAUGGGAGAGGCAAGCGGAAUUCCUGGAUGUAGCGGUGAAAUGCGUAGAUAUCAGGAGGAACACCUGUGGUGUAGACAGCUUGCUGGACCAUUUCUGACACUGAGACACGAAAGCGUGGGUAGCAAACAGG